CGUAAUCAACCUGCCCUUCAGAGGGGGAUAACAACGGGAAACCGUUGCUAAUACCGCGUACGAUUCAUGAACGGCAUCGUUUAUGAAUGAAAGGUGGCCUCUAUGUAUAAGCUAUCGCUGAAGGAGGGGAUUGCGUCUGAUUAGCUAGUUGGAGGGGUAACGGCCCACCAAGGCAAUGAUCAGUAGCCGGUCUGAGAGGAUGAACGGCCACAUUGGGACUGAGACACGGCCCAA
Molecule: ribosomal RNA, 234 nt
Filed under: uncultured bacterium
Lineage: Bacteria
Description: partial 16S ribosomal RNA
Rfam family: Bacterial small subunit ribosomal RNA
Source: RNAcentral